This 406-nucleotide ribosomal RNA is filed under the name uncultured bacterium. RNAcentral's name for it is "partial 16S ribosomal RNA". It matches the Rfam family "Bacterial small subunit ribosomal RNA", at positions 28 to 526 of the family's 1533-position model. The record is from RNAcentral.
GACGAACGCUGGCGGCGGGCCUAACACAUGCAAGUCGAACGAGUGGCGGACGGGUGAGUAAUGUCUGGGAAACUGCCUGAUGGAGGGGGAUAACUACUGGAAACGGUAGCUAAUACCGCAUACCAUCAGAUGUGCCCAGAUGGGCUUGGCUUGUUGGUGGGGUCACGGCUCACCAAGGCGACGCUCCCUAGCUGGUCUGAGAGGAUGACCAGCCACACGGGAACUGAGACACGGUCCAGACUCCUACGGGAGGCAGCAGUGGGGAAUAUGGCACAAUGGGCGCAAGCCUGAGGCAGCAAUGCCGCGUGUAUGAAGAAGGCCUUCGGGUUGUAAAGUACUUUCAGGGGGGAGGCGGUACCCGCAGAAGAAGCACCGGCUAACUCCGUGCCAGCAGCCGCGGUAAUUC